This is a non-coding RNA of Coffea arabica (coffee), 3595 nucleotides long. The record is from RefSeq and is a predicted model, not a curated record. Lineage: Eukaryota; Viridiplantae; Streptophyta; Magnoliopsida; Gentianales; Rubiaceae.
CUAGGGCGUUUGCAGUCCAUUAUCUUAAUGUUUGAGUAUGACUAAACGCCGCCGUUUCGAGGCCGUUCUGUCUGGUUCUCUUGCUCCUCCUCCUCUUCCAUCAUGUUGGAGAACAGCUACGGAGUAUUAAACGCGGCAAAUGCAGAAUUCUGUCUACGACUGUUAUGCUUCCUUUCCCAUAAAUCCAAAGUCCAUGGAAGUGCAUUCUCCUCAAUCCCCAAAUUUCCCUUUUGAUGAAAAGCGUGAUUUGUAUCAUGGGGUAGGGGAACAGUGGGUCUAUCGUUUUAUAAGGUGUGGAAUUCCUCUGCAGAUUAAGUAGGUUGAACUGUUCUUGAAAUGAAUGUUUGCAACACUAAUCCAAGUCCCCUUACACUGGAGGAUGGCUGCAAGCGGUUUGUGCACAGGCAAUGACCUUGGAAUUGUAGUUAUUUCCCUGUCAACUGGUGGUAGUAGCAUCAACCUGUGGUGUUUACACGCUAAAAUAAGUAGAAUUGAUCCAUGGAGCAUCCACAUUUUAGGCUUAGAUGAAAUUUUUGUGGAGGCUGUGAAAGGAAAGAAAGAAAAAGUCAAUUUUGGCAUGUGUGCUGUGUCUAUCUUCCAUUCAAGUCCUUUAACAGAUUUAAGGGUGGCUGUUAAUAUUUAAUGCCAAUCAGAUUUCCUAUCAAACUUCAGAUCCCGGCUUGUCUUUGGCCAUUAAUAACUAUAACUGUUGCUCUUAAGCAAGGAUGGAAGUUCACAGGUCUGGUUUGUCAUUCAUGUCUUAUCUGUCGUCAACUUAUCGCUGAUAAAACCUAGGUGGCAAUAGGAAUUUCUCCAAAACAUAAGCACACAAAUUUUGAUUAUUAGCGUAUCUUUGGCCAACAUUUUUCUGUCCCUUAAACUCUGAAAGGCAUGUUCAUAUGGCACAUAUUAUGCAUCACAUACAGCAGUGAAGUAAAGUAGUUGUGCAAAUGUUGUAGCUUGAGGAAACAUAUGAAACUGUCAACUAGCAUUUAAUUUAUCUAACGCAAUAAUUGAAGAGACUACCAACUUCUUCAAUAUUGUUUGAGAGAGUGCUGAUUAUCAUGUUAUGGCAUCUCCUAAUGUUUUUUGUGAUGUAAACUAGUUAAUUAAAAUCAGAUAAAGAAAAGCCUACAGCCUAUGUAGUCUAAAUCAGUUCAUCCUUGAAAAGGCUAGGCUCCUUCUUCUUUCCAUUUCAUGUUAUUCUUGCCUUCCUUUGAGAUUAGCUUUGGAUAUAGAAUUGAUCUGAAAUUUUUCUAGAAUAUCUUUUCCAUGAGACCACUAAAUUUUGUCAAUUUUCUGGUCAUGUCUGGUACAAUGAAGAUACAUGACUGAGUACCAUCAAAUUUGCUGAUGCAAAAUAGAGGAACUUGAAAGUUAUCGACAGAAUGCCAUCAAAGACUUCAGUUGACUGGAAAGUUUUAGCCCCCUUCCAGUUGUCUUUUAAUGGAGUUAAAUGUUGCAAAUUGGUGCAUCUCGUGAUAUGUAAGCAUAUGUUUAACAUAUUUAUGUAGUUUAUAAAGGAGUAUGUUUGGGCAUUUGCUACCUCAUUGGGUUAAAUGUGAGCAAAUAUAUGCCAUGAUAUCAAUUUUCUUGCAUGGUGUGGGCAAUAUAUGAUCUGGGCAUGGUUUUCACAUUUCAGUCCUGUCGAUCUUCAGUUCAAUCCCCCUUCCAGUUGUCUUGUAAUGGAGUUAAAUGUUGCAAAUUGGCGCAUCUCGUGAUAUUUUCAUGCAGAGGACCUUAGGGUUUGGAAGAGAGGGAAGGGUAUUAACCACACUGGCACUCGAAAAAGAGAUAGCGUUCCAUCAAGAACGAAAUGGAAGCUGGGAACACUUCAACCGCUGUUGUGCAGGAGAAUUCUGUGCUGAACAGAGUCCAUUCCAACAUUGACCGGUUGCCGGAUGAUAUCCUCAUUACCAUCUUAUCACUUUUGACAGUUGAAGAAGCGGCAGCAACUAGUAUCCUUUCUCGCAGAUGGAGAUAUUUGUGGAUGCACACUACUGGGUGUUGGAGCUUUGAUUUUUCUGAGGAGGUCAAGGUGAUGGUUGAUAAAAUGGGCGUUAGUACGGUUAUGGACAUACUUCUGCAUCAUUCAUUUGGAAGGUUGUGUUUGGUUACUAAUGUCACAGCUUUACAUCGCGGCCCAUAUCUUAACGAAUUCAGGAUAGUUGCUUACCUGGAUUCAAAAACUUGAAUUGGACUUCAAGAACUGCUUCGUAUUCCGUCCAUUGAAAAGAUAUAGUUUUCCCAAUCUUGAGGAAUUCAAACUUUUGUUAGCAGCAGGUGUUAUGAAAUUCCUCCAGUGCCAGCAUCAUCUGAGGGGGGUAAAACUCGGGGUUCAUCAUUUAAGGGGCUUUGGUUGUCUAAGAGCCCUUUGUUUGGUAUGUUGAUAUCUCUGAAGAGGUUCUGGACUGUAUCUUCUCCAACUGUACAUCACUUGAAAGUAUAUCUCUAGAAGAAUCAUAUGAACUAGUGAAUCUAAAAGUUCACGGCCUUCAUUUGAGGUAUUUUGAGAUGAUAAACUGGUUUAACCUGAAAUCUCUGGAGAUAUCUGCAGCGAAUCUUGAGUUGUUUACUUAUUUAGGACCCAAUAUAGAUGUUCCUUUCGGAAGUGGUCCUCAUUGCCUUUUGGAAGCAACAAUCGGAGGAUCAUUUGGUGAAUCAUUUGUUUUUGGAUCUGCAAAGCAUUUGGUUUAUAUUUCUCAACUGGAAACUCUUACCUUCGAUGUCUCUUUUGAGGUUAAUUUGAGAAUUUCCAGCUUUCCAAACGUUUUCUGAGAAAUGAUUAAUCUCAAGCAUUUGGAACUGAAAGUGAGGCUUUCUGGUUCACAAAGCCUUCUGCCUUAUACAACUUGUAUAAAGGCCUGUCCUUUCUUGUCUACAUUCAGGAUAAAGUACUUCCUGCAGUGGCCUUUCACUCUGCAUCAGUCACUCAUUGGGGUACAUCCAUAUCAUACGAGAAGGUCUGAAGCUAAUAGAUAUGCUCAUCAACACCUUGAAGUGGUGGAGUUGAUUGGAUUUCAUGGCUGUGCAAACGAACUUAACCUUGCCACCCGCUUGCUUCAGAUUGCUGUGAACCUCAAGAGAAUGGUUUACAGUUUCAUUCUGAAAAACAAAAAGAAGAUCGCUCGUCCAGGAAGCUUGUUGCAAGGUUUCGAAAAACUUUACCUCCAGCAGUUGAGCUGGUGGUUUGCUGAAUCAUGGGGGACCUUUUCAGUCACAAACUUGGGAACCAAAAACAUUUGUUAUAUUAAUAAUGCUGAUACAUUAGAAGUGUAUUGCAGGCAACUAUGUUAUGUUCUAAUUACUAUUUGACUGUAAUAUGUUUGCUAAUGAUGAGAUGAAACAUAGAGACUCUUGGAGUUUAUACUGUUUAGCAAUGCUUGAAUGGGUGAUUAUGAAUGCUCAAUAUCAAUGUAGGGUGGGGAUUGUCUUCGAUUCCUCAUAAGAUAGUACAGGAAAUCGGUAAGUUGGAAUAUGAUCAAACAAAUGCCGUAUUUCUUGGUUUCUUUGUUGCUAUCUAUGAAGGAAGAAUCUGUUAUAGCGCUUGGAUUUAAAUGGACAACUAGAAAGAAUGGUAGUCUACAUUAUUUAA